UAGGGAAUCUUCCACAAUGGGCGCAAGCCUGAUGGAGCAACACCGCGUGAGUGAAGAAGAUCUUCGGAUCGUAAAACUCUGUUGUUAGAGAAGAACACGAGUGAGAGUAACUGUUCAUUCGAUGACGGUAUCUAACCAGCAAGUCACGGCUAACUACGUGCCAG
RNAcentral lists this ribosomal RNA (164 nucleotides) under uncultured bacterium. RNAcentral describes it as "partial 16S rRNA". It matches the Rfam family "Bacterial small subunit ribosomal RNA", at positions 355 to 511 of the family's 1533-position model. The record is from RNAcentral.